This 85-nucleotide small nucleolar RNA is filed under the name Loxodonta africana (African savanna elephant). Its description in RNAcentral is "Small Cajal body specific RNA 15 (ENSLAFG00000032868.1)". The record is from RNAcentral. Lineage: Eukaryota; Metazoa; Chordata; Mammalia; Proboscidea; Elephantidae.
CAGGAAAUUAAGAAAACAGAGACUUUGAAGUUAACCCAAAUCUGCUACUAACUUCCAAAAUUUGAUAAAUCAUGUGAGGAAAGGA